RNAcentral lists this ribosomal RNA (555 nucleotides) under Vishniacozyma victoriae. Its description in RNAcentral is "eukaryotic LSU rRNA". It matches the Rfam family "Eukaryotic large subunit ribosomal RNA", at positions 104 to 650 of the family's 3401-position model. Lineage: Eukaryota; Fungi; Basidiomycota; Tremellomycetes; Tremellales; Bulleribasidiaceae. The record is from RNAcentral.
GAGCUCAAAUUUAAAAUCUGGCGUCUUUCAGGCGUCCGAGUUGUAAUCUAUAGAGGCGUUUUCCGCGCCGGACCGCGUCCAAGUCUCUUGGAAUAGAGUAUCAAAGAGGGUGACAAUCCCGUACUUGACGCGACAACCGGUGCUCUGUGAUACGUUCUCAAUGAGUCGAGUUGUUUGGGAAUGCAGCUCUAAAUGGGUGGUAAAUUCCAUCUAAGGCUAAAUAUUGGCGAGAGACCGAUAGCGAACAAGUACCGUGAGGGAAAGAUGAAAAGCACUUUGGAAAGAGAGUUAAACAGCACGUGAAAUUGUUAAAAGGGAAACGAUUGAAGUCAGUCGUGUGAAAGGUAUUCAGCCGUCUCUGGCGGUGUAUUUGCCUUUCACGGGUCAACAUCAGUUUGAUCCGGUAGAAAAAGGCGGGAGGAAGGUGGCACCCUCGGGUGUGUUAUAGCCUCCUGUCAUAUGUGCCGGACCAGACUGAGGAACGCAGCUUGCCGCAAGGCCGGGGUUCGCCCACGUACAAGCUUAGGAUGUUGACAUAAUGGCUUUAAACGACCC